CCUCGUUCCGAUGCUGCGGGGAAUGGUAAAGGUGAAUGGAUUGAGGAAGUUAGUCAGUGUUUGAAGUGUCGAGCUUCAGUGUUAACACGGAGAUGAUUGCUGACACCAUGGACCCUGUUUGCUUCAUUCUGGGUCUACUCUGUUUCACCAUCGGCAGUUCUCUCGGGAACAAUUAUCCAACCACCACGGGUGUGGAACCACACGCAAGAAAUCGCCGAGAAACUG
Amblyraja radiata (thorny skate) is the source of this 225-nucleotide long non-coding RNA. RefSeq lists it as uncharacterized. The transcript has 3 exons. The record is from RefSeq and is a predicted model, not a curated record. NCBI's taxonomy places the organism in Eukaryota, Metazoa, Chordata, Chondrichthyes, Rajiformes, Rajidae.